Molecule: ribosomal RNA, 1446 nt
Filed under: Planktothrix agardhii NIVA-CYA 127
Lineage: Bacteria; Bacillati; Cyanobacteriota; Cyanophyceae; Oscillatoriales; Microcoleaceae
Description: bacterial SSU rRNA
Rfam family: Bacterial small subunit ribosomal RNA
Source: RNAcentral
CAGGAUGAACGCUGGCGGUCUGCUUAACACAUGCAAGUCGAACGGAAUCCUUAGGGAUUUAGUGGCGGACGGGUGAGUAACACGUAAGAACCUGCCUCUAGGACGGGGACAACAGUUGGAAACGACUGCUAAACCCGGAUGAGCCGAAAGGUAAAAGAUUAAUCGCCUAGAGAGGGGCUUGCGUCUGAUUAGCUAGUUGGURAGGUAAGAGCYYACCAAGGCGACGAUCAGUAGCUGGUCUGAGAGGAUGAUCAGCCACACUGGGACUGAGACACGGCCCAGACUCCUACGGGAGGCAGCAGUGGGGAAUUUUCCGCAAUGGGCGAAAGCCUGACGGAGCAAGACCGCGUGGGGGAGGAAGGUUCUUGGAUUGUCAACCCCUUUUCUCAGGGAAGAACACAAUGACGGUACCUGAGGAAAAAGCAUCGGCUAACUCCGUGCCAGCAGCCGCGGUAAUACGGGGGAUGCAAGCGUUAUCCGGAAUGAUUGGGCGUAAAGAGUCCGUAGGUAGUCAUCCAAGUCUGCUGUUAAAGAGCGAGGCUUAACCUCGUAAAGGCAGUGGAAACUGGAAGACUAGAGUGUAGUAGGGGCAGAGGGAAUUCCUGGUGUAGCGGUGAAAUGCGUAGAGAUCAGGAAGAACACCGGUGGCGAAGGCGCUCUGCUGGGCUAUAACUGACACUGAGGGACGAAAGCUAGGGGAGCGAAUGGGAUUAGAUACCCCAGUAGUCCUAGCGGUAAACGAUGGAAACUAGGUGUGGCCUGUAUCGACCCGGGCCGUGCCGAAGCAAACGCGUUAAGUUUCCCGCCUGGGGAGUACGCACGCAAGUGUGAAACUCAAAGGAAUUGACGGGGGCCCGCACAAGCGGUGGAGUAUGUGGUUUAAUUCGAUGCAACGCGAAGAACCUUACCAGGACUUGACAUCUCUGGAAUCUCCUUGAAAGGGGAGAGUGCCGUAAGGAACCAGAAGACAGGUGCUGCAUGGCUGUCGUCAGCUCGUGUCGUGAGAUGUUGGGUUAAGUCCCGCAACGAGCGCAACCCUCGUCGUUAGUUGCCAUCAUUAAGUUGGGAACUCUAGCGAGACUGCCGGUGACAAACCGGAGGAAGGUGAGGAUGACGUCAAGUCAGCAUGGCCCUUACGUCCUGGGCGACACACGUACUACAAUGCGAGGGACAGAGAGCAGCCAACCCGCGAGGGAGAGCGAAUCUCAUAAACCCUGGCACAGUUCAGAUUGCAGGCUGCAACUCGCCUGCAUGAAGGAGGAAUCGCUAGUAAUCGCAGGUCAGCAUACUGCGGUGAAUCCGUUCCCGGGCCUUGUACACACCGCCCGUCACACCAUGGAAGUGAGCCACGCCCGAAGUCAUUACUCUAACCCGAAAGGGAGGAGGGUGCCGAAGGCGGGGUUGAUGACUGGGGUGAAGUCGUAACAAGGUAGCCGUACCGGAAGG